Molecule: ribosomal RNA, 734 nt
Filed under: Staphylococcus aureus
Lineage: Bacteria; Bacillati; Bacillota; Bacilli; Caryophanales; Staphylococcaceae
Description: partial 23S ribosomal RNA
Rfam family: Bacterial large subunit ribosomal RNA
Source: RNAcentral
UUACAAAGGACGACAUUAGACGAAUCAUCUGGAAAGAUGAAUCAAAGAAGGUAAUAAUCCUGUAGUCGAAAAUGUUGUCUCUCUUGAGUGGAUCCUGAGUACGACGGAGCACGUGAAAUUCCGUCGGAAUCUGGGAGGACCAUCUCCUAAGGCUAAAUACUCUCUAGUGACCGAUAGUGAACCAGUACCGUGAGGGAAAGGUGAAAAGCACCCCGGAAGGGGAGUGAAAUAGAACCUGAAACCGUGUGCUUACAAGUAGUCAGAGCCCGUUAAUGGGUGAUGGCGUGCCUUUUGUAGAAUGAACCGGCGAGUUACGAUUUGAUGCAAGGUUAAGCAGUAAAUGUGGAGCCGUAGCGAAAGCGAGUCUGAAUAGGGCGUUUAGUAUUUGGUCGUAGACCCGAAACCAGGUGAUCUACCCUUGGUCAGGUUGAAGUUCAGGUAACACUGAAUGGAGGACCGAACCGACUUACGUUGAAAAGUGAGCGGAUGAACUGAGGGUAGCGGAGAAAUUCCAAUCGAACCUGGAGAUAGCUGGUUCUCUCCGAAAUAGCUUUAGGGCUAGCCUCAAGUGAUGAUUAUUGGAGGUAGAGCACUGUUUGGACGAGGGGCCCCUCUCGGGUUACCGAAUUCAGACAAACUCCGAAUGCCAAUUAAUUUAACUUGGGAGUCAGAACAUGGGUGAUAAGGUCCGUGUUCGAAAGGGAAACAGCCCAGACCACCAGCUAAGGUCCCAA